This 149-nucleotide small nuclear RNA is filed under the name Oryza sativa Japonica Group (Japanese rice). RNAcentral describes it as "U2 spliceosomal RNA". Lineage: Eukaryota; Viridiplantae; Streptophyta; Magnoliopsida; Poales; Poaceae. The record is from RNAcentral.
CUCAAAUUUACAGUGUGUUUUCUUGUAAAUUAUAGUGUAAUUUAUGAAAUUUACAGUGUAACUUUUGUAAGUUACAGUGUAAUUUUUGAAUCUUUGCAUGUAAGUUUUGAAAUAUAUAUUAGAUUUGGUUUUUUUCUUGAAGAUAUGGU